This 253-nucleotide ribosomal RNA is filed under the name uncultured bacterium. Its description in RNAcentral is "partial 16S ribosomal RNA". It matches the Rfam family "Bacterial small subunit ribosomal RNA", at positions 524 to 776 of the family's 1533-position model. The record is from RNAcentral.
UACGAAGGGGGCUAGCGUUGCUCGGAAUCACUGGGCGUAAAGGGUGCGUAGGCGGGUCUUUAAGUCAGGGGUGAAAUCCUGGAGCUCAACUCCAGAACUGCCUUUGAUACUGAAGAUCUUGAGUUCGGGAGAGGUGAGUGGAACUGCGAGUGUAGAGGUGAAAUUCGUAGAUAUUCGCAAGAACACCAGUGGCGAAGGCGGCUCACUGGCCCGAUACUGACGCUGAGGCACGAAAGCGUGGGUAGCAAACGGG